This 315-nucleotide long non-coding RNA is filed under the name Ananas comosus (pineapple). Its description in RNAcentral is "long non-coding RNA (ACOM_LNC038957)". The record is from RNAcentral. Lineage: Eukaryota; Viridiplantae; Streptophyta; Magnoliopsida; Poales; Bromeliaceae.
GGAGGUUUUCGAGAGCUAAAGAAUCAAAUUCUGCAAAACUGCAGAUUUUGAGCUCUCGGGGACCGGUCCCUGGUGGGAGAGACCGGUCCCCGAACGCGUGCAGAAUGAGACAGCUGAAAAAUCGGCCAAGUCCUGGAAGGACAGCUCUCGGGAACCGGUCUCUGUCUGAGAGACCGGUCCCCCAGAGACCGGUCCCACCAGGGAGGGACCGGAUGCAUUGCGCGCGGCAGCUCUGGCUGCGCAGGGUGGACCUUCGGGGACCGGUCCCUGCUCGGGGAGACCGGUCUCUGCCUGCGAAAACUGCCCAGUCCAGGC